This 302-nucleotide ribosomal RNA is filed under the name uncultured bacterium. RNAcentral's name for it is "partial 16S ribosomal RNA". It matches the Rfam family "Bacterial small subunit ribosomal RNA", at positions 508 to 807 of the family's 1533-position model. The record is from RNAcentral.
GCAGUAGCCGCGGUAAUACGGAGGGUGCAAGCGUUAAUCGGAAUUACUGGGCGUAAAGCGCACGCAGGCGGUCUGACAAGUCAGAUGUGAAAUCCCCGGGCUUAACCUGGGAACUGCAUUUGAAACUGUCAGGCUGGAGUCUUGUAGAGGGGGGUGGAAUUCCAGGUGUAGCGGUGAAAUGCGUAGAGAUCUGGAGGAAUACCGGUGGCGAAGGCGGCCCCCUGGACAAAGACUGACGCUCAGGUGCGAAAGCGUGGGGAGCAAACAGGAUUAGAUACCCCGGUAGUCCCUGUCUCUUAUAC